AAUAGAUACCCAGGUAGUCCACGCCGUAAACGGUGGGCGCUAGGUGUGGGGGACUUUCCACGUCCUCUGUGCCGCAGCUAACGCAUUAAGCGCCCCGCCUGGGGAGUACGGCCGCAAGGCUAAAACUCAAAGGAAUUGACGGGGACCCGCACAAGCGGCGGAGCAUGUGGCUUAAUUCGACGCAACGCGAAGAACCUUACCAAGGCUUGACAUGCAGGGAAAUCUCGUAGAGAUACGGGGUCCGCAAGGGCUCUGCACAGGUGGUGCAUGGUUGUCGUCAGCUCGUGUCGUGAGAUGUUGGGUUAAGUCCCGCAACGAGCGCAACCCUUGUCCUAUGUUGCCAGCGAGUAAUGUCGGGGACUCAUAGGAGACUGCCGGGGUCAACUCGGAGGAAGGUGGGGAUGACGUCAAAUCAUCAUGCCCCUUAUGUCUUGGGCUGCACACAUGCUACAAUGGUCGGUACAAAGGGCUGCGAGACCGCAAGGUGGAGCGAAUCCCAAAAAGCCGGCCUCAGUUCGGAUUGGGGU
Molecule: ribosomal RNA, 527 nt
Filed under: uncultured bacterium
Lineage: Bacteria
Description: bacterial SSU rRNA
Rfam family: Bacterial small subunit ribosomal RNA
Source: RNAcentral